GCCUUUACCUGGCAGGGGAGAUACCAUGAUCAUGAAGGUGGUUUUCCCAGGGCAAGGCUUAUCCAUUGCAUUCCGGAUGUGCUGACCCCUGCGAUUUCCCCAAAUGCGGGAAACUCGAUUGAUAAAUUUAAGAAAC
Molecule: small nuclear RNA, 136 nt
Filed under: Microtus ochrogaster (prairie vole)
Lineage: Eukaryota; Metazoa; Chordata; Mammalia; Rodentia; Cricetidae
Description: U1 spliceosomal RNA (ENSMOCG00000005296.1)
Rfam family: U1 spliceosomal RNA
About the family: U1 is a small nuclear RNA (snRNA) component of the spliceosome (involved in pre-mRNA splicing).
Source: RNAcentral